This 1311-nucleotide ribosomal RNA is filed under the name Triticum aestivum (bread wheat). RNAcentral's name for it is "partial small subunit ribosomal RNA". The record is from RNAcentral. Lineage: Eukaryota; Viridiplantae; Streptophyta; Magnoliopsida; Poales; Poaceae.
AUGGCGAACAACGGCAGCAGCAGCCGCCGCGCGGACGGCGACGUCGGCGCCACCCCAUCCCGAUGGCGUUUCUUCCGGCCAUCGGCUGGCACGCCGCUGGCGGCCGCCGGCAGCAUGAGCAUCCGCUCGGUUCUCAACCGUCUCAACUCGUCCGUCGACGCGUCCGGGACGCGCCCCGUCGUGCCGCUCGGCCACGGCGACCCCACCUCCUCCGCCUGCUUCCGGACCGCGCCGGAGGCCGAGGACGCCGUCGUGGACGCGCUCCGCUCCAGGAAGCACAACGGCUACUCCCCCACCGUCGGUGUGCCCCAGGCGCGCAGUGCUAUUGCAGAGUACCUGUCUCGAGACCUCCCUUACGAGCUUUCACCAGAUGAUAUAUACCUGACCUCUGGAUGCGUGCAAGCCAUCGAGAUCAUGAUCUCUGUCCUUGCCCAGCCGGGGGCUAACAUCUUGCUCCCGAGACCCGGGUUUCCGAUGUACGAGUCGCGGACCACAUUCAGCGAGUUAGAGGUUCGAUAUUUCGACCUCGUCCCCGAAAGAGGCUGGGAGGCAGACCUCGAGUCUGUGAAGGCUAUUGCUGAUGAGAACACGGUUGCGAUGCUCAUAAUCAAUCCCAGUAACCCUUGUGGGAGUGUCUACUCACAUGAUCAUUUGGCCCAAAUUGCAGAAACCGCAGGAGAACUUGGCAUAUUGAUAAUUGCUGAUGAGGUAUACGACCACUUGGCAUUUGGAAUUAAGCCUUUUAUACCAAUGGGCGUUUUUGGCAAUACGGUCCCAGUCAUCACCUUGGGAGCUAUAUCUAAAAGGUGGCUUGUGCCUGGUUGGCGACUUGGCUGGAUCGCAACGUGUGACCCAAAUGGCAUCUUAAAGGAAACCAAGAUUGACCAGUCAAUUCAAAACUAUAUUAACAUCACAAGUGAUCCUGCAACAUUCAUUCAGGGAGCAGUCCCUCAAAUUAUAGCCAACACAAAGGAAGAAUACUUCAAGAAAAUUCUUGAUUUAUUAAGAAACUCGGCAGAUUUAUGUUACGGUAAAAUAAAGGAUAUCAGGGGCAUUACAUGUCCGCACAAACCGGAGGGAUCAAUGUUUGUGAUGGCUAAGUUGGACCUCUCUUGCUUGGAUGGCUUUUCUGAUGAUGUAGAUUUCUGCUGCAGGCUGGCAAAAGAAGAAUCUGUAAUAGUUUUACCAGGUACUGCACUGGGAAUGAAGGAUUGGGUUCGGAUCACUUUCGCCAUUGACCUGCCAUCUCUUGAGGAUGGCCUUGAAAGGCUGAAAUCUUUCUGCGAGAGGCAUGCUAUAGUAGAGGCCUAA